This 449-nucleotide ribosomal RNA is filed under the name Leptopoma perlucidum. Its description in RNAcentral is "partial 16S ribosomal RNA". It matches the Rfam family "Bacterial large subunit ribosomal RNA", at positions 1929 to 2597 of the family's 2925-position model. The record is from RNAcentral. Lineage: Eukaryota; Metazoa; Mollusca; Gastropoda; Architaenioglossa; Cyclophoridae.
UGCUGCAGUUCCCUGACUGUGCAAAGGUAGCAUAAUAAUUUGCCUUUUAAUUGGAGGCUAGUAUGAAAGGUUUGACGAAAGUAAAUCUGUCUCUUUUAUGUUAAUUAGAAACUAUUUUUUAAGUUAAAAAGCUUAAAUUUUAUUAGAGGACGAGAAGACCCUAUCGAGCUUAUAAAUAUUAUUUUAAAUGGCAAUUAUUGUUUAAAUAUGAGUUUAAUAGGUUAUUUUUAGUUGGGGCAACUGCGGUGCAUUAAGAGCCUCCGUUAUAGUUAUAAUUUGUGAAUGAUCCGACAUUGUCGAAUGAUGACUUAGUUACCGUAGGGAUAACAGCGUAAUUUUUUUGGAGAGAUCUUAUCGAUAAAAAAGAUUGCGACCUCGAUGUUGGAUUAAAAACAUACUUUAAGGUGCAGGGGCUUUAUAAAGUUAGUCUGUUCGACUAUUAAAUUUUU